CUCCAGACUCCUACGGGAGGCAGCAGUGAGGAAUAUUGGUCAAUGGCCGAAGGGCUGAACCAGCCAAGCCGCGUGAAGGAAUAAGGCCCUACGGGUCGUAAACUUCUUUAGUCAGGGAACAAAGGGUGCCACGCGUGGCGCUGUGAGUGUACCUGAAGAAUAAGCAUCGGCUAACUCCGUGCCAGCAGCCGCGGUAAUACGGAGGAUGCGAGCGUUAUCCGGAUUUAUUGGGUUUAAAGGGUGCGUAGGCGGAAUGCCAGGUCGGCGGUAAAAUCGCGGGGCUCACCCCCGCUCCGCCGUUGAAACUGGCGUUCUUGAGUGGGCGAGAAGUAUGCGGAAUGCGUGGUGUAGCGGUGAAAUGCAUAGAUAUUGCGCAGAACUCCGAUUGCGAAGGCAGCAUACCGGCGGCGAUCUGACGCUGAGGCACGAAAGCGUGGGUAUCGAACAGGAUUAGAUACCCUCGUAUCG
This 468-nucleotide ribosomal RNA is filed under the name uncultured bacterium. RNAcentral describes it as "bacterial SSU rRNA". It matches the Rfam family "Bacterial small subunit ribosomal RNA", at positions 329 to 793 of the family's 1533-position model. The record is from RNAcentral.